UUUUUUCUUGGACCUUCUGCU
Molecule: non-coding RNA, 21 nt
Filed under: Caenorhabditis elegans
Lineage: Eukaryota; Metazoa; Nematoda; Chromadorea; Rhabditida; Rhabditidae
Source: RNAcentral